UAAACGCUGGCGGCGUGCUUAACACAUGCAAGUCGAACGAAGUUUUUCUUUCGGGAGGAACUUAGUGGCGGACGGGUGAGUAACGCGUGGGUAACCUGCCCUGUACAGGGGGACAACAGCUGGAAACGGCUGCUAAUACCGCAUAAGCCCUUAGCACUGCAUGGUGCAUAGGGAAAAGGAGCAAUCCGGUACAGGAUGGACCCGCGUCUGAUUAGCCAGUUGGCAGGGUAACGGCCUACCAAAGCGACGAUCAGUAGCCGAUCUGAGAGGAUGUACGGCCACAUUGGGACUGAGACACGGCCCAGACUCCUACGGGAGGCAGCAGUGGGGAAUAUUGCACAAUGGAGGAAACUCUGAUGCAGCGACGCCGCGUGAGUGAAGAAGUAUUUCGGUAUGUAAAGCUCUAUCAGCAGGAAAGAAAAGGACGGUACCUGACUAAGAAGCACCGGCUAAAUACGUG
Molecule: ribosomal RNA, 460 nt
Filed under: uncultured bacterium
Lineage: Bacteria
Description: partial 16S ribosomal RNA
Rfam family: Bacterial small subunit ribosomal RNA
Source: RNAcentral